GCUAUGGUUGGCCCUGAGGUGUCCGGUGAUGAAUGAGGAGGUGUUUCCCCAGAGGCUCAGGAGAGAAACAGCCCUGUCUGUACACCAGCCUUCCCCUCACAAUGGUGGCCCACACCACUCCAUGUAAAGUCUGGCCAAGAUAUCUGAUGAACAUCCUUCUCAGCAUGAAACUUUAUGGGGCAAAUAGCUGUUUCAUGGCUGCGUGCAGGUCAGUGUCAGUGACAUGACAGAACUCGUCCACCCCACUGUGGAUCAGGAAACACUUGAAGCCAGCCACUCCGGCCUGGAUCAUGGGCCUCAGCUCUAACUGCAGGGACAAGGUCAUAGUUUGUGUGUGCUUUAUAUGAUACCUAUAAACUGCGACUUGACUGCAGCUGCCAGUCAUUCAACAAGGCUUUUCCCCACUGUACCUGGUUGCCAGGAACCACUCCACCCCAGAAAGCUGUGUCCACAAAACACUUCUGUGUGGCCUCCCUUGUCUUCUCAUAAAAAUUAUUUAGUGUGGUGGUUGACGGGAUGC
Long non-coding RNA from Lampris incognitus (smalleye Pacific opah), 520 nucleotides. RefSeq lists it as uncharacterized. The transcript is spliced from 3 exons. NCBI's taxonomy places the organism in Eukaryota, Metazoa, Chordata, Actinopteri, Lampriformes, Lampridae. The record is from RefSeq and is a predicted model, not a curated record.